This is a non-coding RNA of Citrus sinensis (sweet orange), 107 nucleotides long. NCBI's taxonomy places the organism in Eukaryota, Viridiplantae, Streptophyta, Magnoliopsida, Sapindales, Rutaceae. The record is from Rfam.
AUGCCAUGGUGAGGACAUCUUCUGAGCAACUUCUUAAAUCUCUCCGAAGCCUCGUACAAGCUUUCAUCUUUAAGUUGAUGAAAAGAAGUGAUUUCAUUAUGCAAUUU